UACGUAGGUGACAAGCGUUGUCCGGAUUUACUGGGCGUAAAGGGCUCGUAGGCGGUCUGUUGCGUCGGGAGUGAAAACUUACAGCUUAACUGUGAGCGUGCUUCCGAUACGGGCAGACUUGAGGUAUUCAGGGGAGAACGGAAUUCCUGGUGUAGCGGUGAAAUGCGCAGAUAUCAGGAGGAACACCGGUGGCGAAGGCGGUUCUCUGGGCCAUAACUGACGCUGAGGAGCGAAAGCAUGGGGAGCGAACAGG
This 253-nucleotide ribosomal RNA is filed under the name uncultured bacterium. RNAcentral describes it as "partial 16S ribosomal RNA". It matches the Rfam family "Bacterial small subunit ribosomal RNA", at positions 524 to 776 of the family's 1533-position model. The record is from RNAcentral.